GUUGUUCGGUGCAUUAAGUUAUCACUAUGCGCGAGGUCCGCAAAAGUUGAGGAAACAGGUGGAGAACCUAAAUGAACAACUGAUGAAUGAAUAUAGCUGUUGUUGCUCAUGUGGCUGGUCUCCUCAACUCUCUUGAUCCCUUGUCCUUCCCCACCUGUUUCGGUGCCCCCUAAUUUGUCCCCUUGUCAAUGUCUAUUUGUCAGUCGUUGUCAAAUUCUAUAAUGUCCUGUUGUCAAUCCCCUAUGGUUUUAGUAUUCUCGUAGUGUUUAUUUUGUCAAUUUUUUGUGAUGAUGGUGUACUAUUUUUUUCUUCUUAAAUUAAUGAGCAUUUAGUCUUUUUUAAAUGCAUGUUGUAC
This 355-nucleotide long non-coding RNA is filed under the name Nicotiana benthamiana. RNAcentral describes it as "long non-coding RNA (NBEN_LNC034352)". Lineage: Eukaryota; Viridiplantae; Streptophyta; Magnoliopsida; Solanales; Solanaceae. The record is from RNAcentral.